GUCAUGCCAAUGGCACUGCCCGGUAGCUAAAUGCGGAAGAGAUAAGUGCUGAAAGCAUCUAAGCACGAAACUUGCCCCGAGAUGAGUUCUCCCUGAGACUUUAGGUCUCCUGAAGGAACGUUGAAGACGACGACGUUGAUAGGCCGGGUGUGUAAGCGCAGCGAUGCGUUGAGCUAACCGGUACUAAUGAACCGUGAGGCUUAACCUUACAACGCCGAAG
RNAcentral lists this ribosomal RNA (220 nucleotides) under Salmonella enterica. Its description in RNAcentral is "partial 23S ribosomal RNA". It matches the Rfam family "Bacterial large subunit ribosomal RNA", at positions 2723 to 2925 of the family's 2925-position model. The record is from RNAcentral. Lineage: Bacteria; Pseudomonadati; Pseudomonadota; Gammaproteobacteria; Enterobacterales; Enterobacteriaceae. RNAcentral also lists the same sequence under 1 other name.